RNAcentral lists this ribosomal RNA (513 nucleotides) under uncultured Acaulospora. Its description in RNAcentral is "SSU rRNA". It matches the Rfam family "Eukaryotic small subunit ribosomal RNA", at positions 569 to 1081 of the family's 1831-position model. Lineage: Eukaryota; Fungi; Glomeromycota; Glomeromycetes; Diversisporales; Acaulosporaceae. The record is from RNAcentral.
AGCAGCCGCGGUAAUUCCAGCUCCAAUAGCGUAUAUUAAAGUUGUUGCAGUUAAAAAGCUCGUAGUUGAAUUUCGGAAUCUGUCCGUUGGUCGGGCUUCAUUGUCCGUACUGAUGUGAUGGGUUCUUACCUUCUGAAUAACCAGCAUGUCAUUAAUUUGGUGUGUUGGGGAAGCAGGACUAUUACCUUGAAAAAAUUAGAGUGCUCAAAGCAGGCUAGUGCCUGAAUACAUUAGCAUGGAAUAAUAAAAUAGGACGGCAUGGUUCUAUUUUGUUGGUUUCUAGGAUCACCGUAAUGAUUAAUAGGGAUAGUUGGGGGCAUUAGUAUUCAAUUGUCAGAGGUGAAAUUCUUGGAUUUAUUGAAGACUAACUUCUGCGAAAGCAUUUGCCAAGGAUGUUUUCAUUAAUCAAGAACGAAAGUUAGGGGAUCGAAGACGAUCAGAUACCGUCGUAGUCUUAACCAUAAACUAUGCCGACUAGGGAUCGGACGAUGUUAAUUUUAUAAUGACUCGUUC